Molecule: ribosomal RNA, 460 nt
Filed under: uncultured bacterium
Lineage: Bacteria
Description: partial 16S ribosomal RNA
Rfam family: Bacterial small subunit ribosomal RNA
Source: RNAcentral
CCUACGGGAGGCAGCAGUGAGGAAUAUUGGUCAAUGGUCGGGAGACUGAACCAGCCAAGCCGCGUGAGGGAUGAAGGUACAGAGUAUCGUAAACCUCUUUUGUCAGGGAACAAAGGCGGGGACGCGUCCCCGGAUGAGUGUACCUGAAGAAAAAGCAUCGGCUAACUCCGUGCCAGCAGCCGCGGUAAUACGGAGGAUCCGAGCGUUAUCCGGAUUUAUUGGGUUUAAAGGGUGCGCAGGCGGUCUGUUAAGUCAGCGGUGAAAGCCAGGGGCUCAACCCCGGGCCCGCCGUUGAACCUGGCAGUCUCGAGUUGGAGAGAGGCAUGCGGAAUGCGCGGUGUAGCGGUGAAAUGCAUAGAUAUCGCGCAGAACUCCGAUUGCGAAGGCAGCAUGCCGGCUCCACACUGACGCUGAGGCACGAAAGCGUGGGUAUCGAACAGGAUUAGAUACCCGUGUAGUC